UUGAAACCUGUUGAUAAUAUAUAAUUUCAAGGCGGCAUAUAUUAGGUUGGAAACUAUGAAACGGGCGUUUUUUGUUUAGUCUGUGUUCAGCUACGAUCGAGAGAGAUACAUUGUAACGUGUGCUCGAUAUUUUAAUUUAUAAAGCUUAAAGAUGGAAACAAAAUGCGAUUUACAUCUACUCUUCUUGUACGAGUUUAAAUUAAAUCAUACCGCAGCUCAAGCUUCAAGAAAUAUUAAUCAGGCAUUCGGAGAUGGAUCCACCAAUGAAAAAAUGCUCGAUAUUGGUUCCAAAAAUUUCGUUCUGGCAAUUUGAGUAUCGUCAAUGAGCCUCGAGGAAGACCACCGGCCCAUAUUGAUAACGAGGAAUUAAGGAAGACUGUGAAAUCCGAUCCACACACAACUAGUCGAACACUUGGGUCUAAACUAGGAACUAGUCAUACAGCUGUGUUAAAACAUUUGCCUGAAAUAAAUAAAGUCAAGAAAUUGGACUCAUAAGUGCUGCACGAAUUGACGCAACUGCAGAUGAUCGACCGUAAAAGCAAGUGCGCAUCUUUGUUGCUACGCAAUACACGAUUGUCAUUUUUACACCAAAUCAUCACUUGUGAUGAAAAGUGGAUUUUGUAUGAUAAUCGGAAACGAUCAAGCCAAUGGGUAGAUAAGAAUACACCCCCAGGACACACCCCGAAAUCGAAAUUUCAU
Molecule: long non-coding RNA, 699 nt
Organism: Vespa mandarinia (Asian giant hornet)
Lineage: Eukaryota; Metazoa; Arthropoda; Insecta; Hymenoptera; Vespidae
Source: RefSeq, a predicted model, not a curated record